Non-coding RNA from Peromyscus maniculatus bairdii (prairie deer mouse), 1314 nucleotides. Lineage: Eukaryota; Metazoa; Chordata; Mammalia; Rodentia; Cricetidae. The record is from RefSeq and is a predicted model, not a curated record.
CAAACACCCUAAUAGUUGUGCCAGAAACCCCAUCCAAGGACUGAGGAAUCUGGAUGCAGACAUCCAUGGCUAGGCCCCGAGUGGAGCGCCGGAAGUCUUUCUAUUUUUACAAAAUUUUAUUCUGUAUAUGAGCACAUGUGGAGGUCAAAAGACAACUUUGUUCAGUCUCAUUUCUUUUCACUCCACGUUUAAGAAAAUUCUGGGGAUUGAACUUAUGUGUCCAGAUUUGUGUAACAAGUCUUUACCUGCUCAGCCAUUUCAUAAGCCCCUGACUUGCAUUUGUAUACUAUUUUAAUUUUUGGUUUUUUUUCCUUUUUUAAUAUUUAUUUCAUUUUUUAUGUAUUUGUGUGUUUUUCCUGCAGGUAUGUUUGAUGUUUCAUGCAUGUGUUCCUGGUGCCUGAGGAGGCUGGAAGAGUGUGUUUGAACCUCAGUAUGGUGGCUAGGACUUAAACCCUCAUCCUCUACAAUAGAAGCCAGUGCUCCUAACUGCUGAUCCAACUCUCCAACUCACUUUUUCUUUCUUUGUUUGUUUGUUUUUGAAGAUAAUGUCUUACUAUGUAGCUGUGACUGUCCUGGAACUCGGUCUAUAGACCAAUCUCAAGAAGGGAGUAAGUACUGACUCCAGGAACCAGAGGACACUCUAGAGAACUCUGGUCACAGAAACACUUCAACUGUUGCUUCUGACUCUGCUUCCACUUCCACAUCUGUUGCUGUUGCUCCUGCUUCUGCUGUGUCUGCUUCUCGUGCUUCUGCUUCCUCUCCAGAGGCUACAGCCUCUUCUACAGCUGCUUCUGCUGCAUGCCUUUACAGUUGUUGUUACUGCUACUGUAGCACAAGAAGCCUAUCAUCAAGAACAAACUCCCAGCAAGAACCCCUUGUGAAGUAAUGGCCCAGAAGUUCAGGAAGUUACAUGACAACUUGUGAAAAUCCUAUAAUGGUUGGUGAGGCUCAGUUCCCUCCACAAAACGGUCAUAGGCCAUGGAGGCCAGGAAUAAGCCCUCAGAACCUGCCAUGGUCAGAAAGAAAAAGGAUUGCACUCCACAGCCCAGUAAGGUAAUGCUUUUCUGGCCAGAGAGGAAGUUGAAUGCCAUCUUGGGAACAGUGGUAGAAAUAUGCAUCAGGUCCAUGAGAGAGAGCUGACUGAGCAGAAAGUACAUGGUGGUGUGGAGCCUGGGAUCCACAGGAAUGAGGUGGAUCAUUGCUGAGUUGCCAAGCAAGGCCACAGAGAAUAUGGAGAUGAUGAGCAGCAAAAGCAAUAGGUCUGUGUGAUUUUGUGAGAACAAUCCUAAUAAAAUGAAACCACUUGAGCUCUGA